GGGAUUGUGGCUCAGUGGUAGAGCGCUCACCUCGCACAUGUGAGAUCUUGGGUUCGAUCCUCAGCACCA
This 69-nucleotide transfer RNA is filed under the name Urocitellus parryii (Arctic ground squirrel). RNAcentral's name for it is "Spermophilus parryii (Arctic ground squirrel) tRNA". It matches the Rfam family "tRNA". Rfam says of the family: Transfer RNA (tRNA) molecules are approximately 80 nucleotides in length. Their secondary structure includes four short double-helical elements and three loops (D, anti-codon, and T loops). Lineage: Eukaryota; Metazoa; Chordata; Mammalia; Rodentia; Sciuridae. The record is from Rfam by way of RNAcentral. RNAcentral also lists the same sequence under 1 other name.